UUGAAAGGGAAACGAUUGAAGUCAGUCGUGCUGGCGCGAAAUCAACCUUCUCGUCUUGAGAUCACAUGGCGUGGCGAGCCUCAAAACCGUCACGAAGCGUGAACUCUUUGUGAAAUGGAGCACUUUCGUGUCCGCUGGUUAACAUCAAUUUCGAACGUCAUAAAAAGGCUGGAGGGAUGUGGCUCCUUCGGGAGUGUUAUAACCUUUAGCGGAAUGUGGUGUUCGGGAUUGAGGAUUGCAACGAAUACCUUUAGGGCUGUUCCACCUGGCUUCUCUUUGGUAUCCUGGUGACGACAGCUUGCUGACGUCGUUAGGAUUCGCCUUUGAACAGGCUAGAGUGUGGGCAAAUUCGUUAAGGAUGUUGACGUA
This 369-nucleotide ribosomal RNA is filed under the name uncultured Glomeromycotina. RNAcentral's name for it is "LSU rRNA". Lineage: Eukaryota; Fungi; Glomeromycota. The record is from RNAcentral.